UCCUUCUUUUUCACCACGGAUCUGUGCCCAGACGUCCUCUGCUUGCACGCAAGUUCAGAGUCGAUGACUGCGGCAGUUCGAUACAUCCUAUGGAGACAUCGCACUCUUCCUUUUGGAAUAUGGUGUCAAUUAUCCUAUCGACAGGUCCCAGAACAACCGGGCUCUUCCCGGGGAGAAGCUUGGUUCGCCGUCAAAAGCUGAGCCUCGUGGACCGGGAAUCCCAAGAACGUCAUAUUCCACUCCGUUGCCAGAGAUCGUCGAUCCAUGAGGCAGGGGCAAACCAUGACUGUCGUUACAUAC
This 300-nucleotide small RNA is filed under the name Grosmannia clavigera kw1407. RNAcentral's name for it is "A. fumigatus sRNA Afu_309". It matches the Rfam family "A. fumigatus sRNA Afu_309". The record is from Rfam by way of RNAcentral. Lineage: Eukaryota; Fungi; Ascomycota; Sordariomycetes; Ophiostomatales; Ophiostomataceae.